Hemicordylus capensis (graceful crag lizard) is the source of this 1143-nucleotide long non-coding RNA. RefSeq lists it as uncharacterized. The record is from RefSeq and is a predicted model, not a curated record. The transcript has 8 exons. Lineage: Eukaryota; Metazoa; Chordata; Lepidosauria; Squamata; Cordylidae.
AUGGUCCCUGCGAGGUCCUAUGCCUUGCCAGGCCUCGCAGAGGCCUACUGAGCAUGUGUGGUGACCUCCAAAAUGGCCACUGCACUGAUCUUUGUAGGCUGAAACAGGCCUGAAAAUUAGCCCGAGACAGGCUGCGGCAGUGAUCUAAGAGGCCAGCAGAGGGAGGGGGGACUUUUGCAGGGCCCCCCGGCCUUUAGGAAGCCCCCCGAAGGGGCUACAGGAGCUAUCAAGUUUAUUCUACCACUGCAAAGAAGCAUUACAUAAGUGAGAAAGGAAGAGCUUGUCUUCUCAAGAGAUGAAUCUGUAAGCAGGACCCAGUAGGAAUUAAGAGGUUCUUUUGGGGCAGUUCUUUUAUUUCAUCCUUCUGUUUCAUCUGGAGGCCCAAAGAAGAAAGAAGGUCUAUACCGGCUUCUAAUUCUGUGGUUGUCAGCAUUGCUGCCUUAUAACGAAUUUGAAACUUUCUUGGGUCUUGCCUGGGCAUUGACCUUGUUUUCGUGGCUGUUAUUUCUGGCUAUUGCUUUCCUGCCUGCUGGAUUUCCCAUAGACUCCAGAUCCAGAGUUGAGCCUGAACUGGCCCUGCUUUAUUUCCCAGCGAUAUGAAAGAAUCUAAACCUCAUCUUCCAAAACAACUCUUUGAGGGCCAAAAGGGCGUGAAUAUUUUGAGGGCGUGAAUGACAAGUGUUGGAUCAGGAUCUUUCUCAGCAGGCCUACCAUUUGCACAUGACACACCACCGGGGACUGAGAUUCCACACAUCCCCUGGCCACAUGUCCACCUGUGGAUCAAAGAGAGAAUAUAUUUCCAGUACCUUCAUUGACCACUCCUUGCAUCUGAUGAAUUUGGGUCUUGCCCAUGAAAACUCAUGCCACAAGAAAUGGCAUCUUGGUCAAAGAAAGAUCUUCUACAGCUGCUAUUAAAGGAUGCUACCAAAAGGCAUAGCAAGGGGUUCAGCACCGUGUACGGAAAACUGCUGGUGCUGACAGCUGUUGCCUUAAGAGUGUUAAUGGCCAAAGCGGGAUCACACACUCUUGACUUCGCUCAGCUCGUACAUGCUAUCAACACCAGCCUGAGACUGACACUUUCCUUAACUAGAAUGAGGCAUAUUUCAGAUGUUCCUGGAGAAGACACUUCAGAAAUCAAAUAAA